Molecule: ribosomal RNA, 397 nt
Filed under: uncultured bacterium
Lineage: Bacteria
Description: partial 16S ribosomal RNA
Rfam family: Bacterial small subunit ribosomal RNA
Source: RNAcentral
AAUCUUGCGCAAUGGGCGAAAGCCUGACGCAGCCAUGCCGCGUGAAUGAUGAAGGUCUUAGGAUUGUAAAAUUCUUUCACCGGGGACGAUAAUGACGGUACCCGGAGAAGAAGCUCCGGCUAACUUCGUGCCAGCAGCCGCGGUAAUACGAAGGGGGCUAGCGUUGCUCGGAAUUAAUGGGCGUAAAGGGCGGGUAGGCGGAUGGUUAAGUCAGGGGGGAAAUCCCGGGGCCCAACCUCGGAACUGCCCUUGAUACUGGCGAUCUUGAGUAUGAGAGAGGUAUGUGGAACUCCGAGUGUAGAGGUGAAAUUCGUAGAUAUUCGGAAGAACACCAGUGGCGAAGGCGACAUACUGGCUCAUUACUGACGCUGAGGCGCGAAAGCGUGGGGAGCAAACA